CUGAAUGAUCCCUAAUUAAGACGCAAGAGGAAAUGUUCCAAGAGCAAGGCUCCAUGAGCGUCAAUCAAUGAGCACUCAGCCGUGAUCGCUAAGGAUCAGUCGUCGGGCCCAGAAGCACAAAGGGCCAGAGGUGCCCGUGAAGCCGGUUCUGUGCCGGGCCGCGGUGCAAUGGGCCUGGUGCGGUGAGUGCCCGGCUCCAGGCUCCUAGGAGGGGACAGCACUGCUUCGUCCUCUUCAUUCCCUCCCUCCAUCUUCAGCCCUGCCGGGCUCCGGCCCCCUCUCCGGACACCGGGAGGGACCAUGUUCCACGGCAGCGCGGAGGGCGCGACAACAGCCGCUGAAGGGUCUGAGCUCCGCAGAACCCAGAGCAGGGAGGGCAGAGUCCUUCCCCGGACGUCCCCGUGGGGCAGCCCACGCUGGAGCUUGAGCUCAGCCCCGUGCCCCUCAGUCCUCCACCCCCAUCCCACAGCAGGGACUGGAUUUCCUUGUGUGUCUGUGUGUGCAGGGCUGUAGUGUCCUGAGGCCUGGUCAACGUGGACUCUGGCGAGGGAGAAGAGUCUCAUUUGCUCCAUCGUUUAACUUGCAACUUACAUGGGAAUUGUGUGUUUGAUCGAAAAUAAAAGGAGUUAAGAAUUGG
This is a long non-coding RNA of Chelonia mydas (Green sea turtle), 637 nucleotides long. RefSeq lists it as uncharacterized. The record is from RefSeq and is a predicted model, not a curated record. The transcript has 2 exons. Lineage: Eukaryota; Metazoa; Chordata; Testudines; Cheloniidae.